Molecule: ribosomal RNA, 465 nt
Filed under: Vreelandella stevensii
Lineage: Bacteria; Pseudomonadati; Pseudomonadota; Gammaproteobacteria; Oceanospirillales; Halomonadaceae
Description: partial 16S ribosomal RNA
Rfam family: Bacterial small subunit ribosomal RNA
Source: RNAcentral
CCUACGGGUGGCAGCAGUGGGGAAUAUUGGACAAUGGGCGAAAGCCUGAUCCAGCCAUGCCGCGUGUGUGAAGAAGGCCUUCGGGUUGUAAAGCACUUUCAGUGGGGAAGAAAGCCUUGGGGCUAAUACCCUCGAGGAAGGACAUCACCCACAGAAGAAGCACCGGCUAACUCCGUGCCAGCAGCCGCGGUAAUACGGAGGGUGCGAGCGUUAAUCGGAAUUACUGGGCGUAAAGCGCGCGUAGGCGGUCUGAUAAGCCGGUUGUGAAAGCCCCGGGCUCAACCUGGGAACGGCAUCCGGAACUGUCAGGCUAGAGUGCAGGCGAGGAAGGUAGAAUUCCCGGUGUAGCAGUGAAAUGCGUAGAGAUCGGGAGGAAUACCAGUGGCGAAGGCGGCCUUCUGGACUGACACUGACGCUGAGGUGCGAAAGCGUGGGUAGCAAACAGGAUUAGAUACCCUAGUAGUC